RNAcentral lists this long non-coding RNA (256 nucleotides) under Olea europaea (common olive). RNAcentral's name for it is "long non-coding RNA (OEUR_LNC006983)". Lineage: Eukaryota; Viridiplantae; Streptophyta; Magnoliopsida; Lamiales; Oleaceae. The record is from RNAcentral.
UUGAUAUUAUAAAGUAAAUGCCCAACCUCAGCAAUUUUUAAACCAUCUAUUAUCUAUAUAUAUCAGAGAAAGCUGAGCAAAUAUUGAAAAAUUGUCCAAGACUCCAACUUCACGUCUUCACCACUCACUAACUCACCAACAAAAAGUAAACUUUGAAACAAAUGAAACUUGGCAAUUGAUAUGAAAUAUUAAAAACUGGUUACAAAUUAACAAGUGACAUAGAGAAAUAGAGAAUUAUGUAUUUAUUCAAGAACAG